GGUUGGUGGCAUUGCCCCACGGCUCUCCUGCCCCGCAGCGGCGUGCAAUCGUCGGGGGCGUGUGCCCGGUGCUGAGGACCUGCGGGCGCUGGGCAGCGGGGAUCCGCGGCGGGAGCGGGAAGCGCGGGGUCCUGGGUGGCCGCCGCGAGCUGGGAAGCUGUCUGGUCCAGCUUGGGCAAUUUGUGAUGGCGCAGAAAGAGGUUGUCUUGGCCUUCAGACCGGAUUUCUUGGACCCCAGUCUCCUCGUCUCCCUCCAUUUUACAACCAUGGAUGCCAUACUUCCUAAAAAAAUCUAUACAACCAACCACCACACAUCUCGUAUGCAUCUUGCAGACAGGGAAAUAAUGAGAAAGGAGUAAGUUAACCUGUGAGAAGACUGCUCAAUGAACAAAGUGUUUAAACCACUCCCACAAGCCCGAGGAUGGGGGU
RNAcentral lists this long non-coding RNA (429 nucleotides) under Mus caroli (Ryukyu mouse). Its description in RNAcentral is "lncRNA (MGP_CAROLIEiJ_G0003441.1)". Lineage: Eukaryota; Metazoa; Chordata; Mammalia; Rodentia; Muridae. The record is from RNAcentral.